RNAcentral lists this ribosomal RNA (366 nucleotides) under uncultured soil bacterium. RNAcentral's name for it is "bacterial SSU rRNA". It matches the Rfam family "Bacterial small subunit ribosomal RNA", at positions 26 to 382 of the family's 1533-position model. The record is from RNAcentral.
AGAUUGAACGCUGGCGGAAUGCUUUACACAUGCAAGUCGAGCGGCAGCGCGGGGCAACCUGGCGGCGAGCGGCGAACGGGUGAGUAAUGCAUCGGAACGUGUCCAUGUCGUGGGGGAUAGCCCGGCGAAAGCCGGAUUAAGUACCGCAUACGCCCGAGAGGGGAAAGUGGGGACCGCAAGCCUCACGCGAUUGGAUCGGCCGAUGUCCGAUUAGCUAGGUUGGCGGGUAAAGGCCCACCAAGGCGAGUGAGUCGGUAGCUAGGUCGUGAGAGGAUGACUCAGCCACACGUGGACUGAGACCGACGGCCCAGACUCCGUACGGGACGCGAGCGAGGUGGGUAAUUUUGGAACCGAAGUCGGGGGACC